Molecule: ribosomal RNA, 253 nt
Filed under: uncultured bacterium
Lineage: Bacteria
Description: partial 16S ribosomal RNA
Rfam family: Bacterial small subunit ribosomal RNA
Source: RNAcentral
UACGAGGGGGGCGAGCGUUGUUCGGAAUUAUUGGGCGUAAAGGGCGCGUAGGCGGACGGUCAAGUCGGGGGUGAAAUCUUUCAGCUUAACUGGAAAAGUGCCUCCGAUACUGAUCGUCUCGAGGGAGGUAGGGGCAUGUGGAACUUCCGGUGGAGCGGUGAAAUGCGUAGAUAUCAGGAGGAACACCGAUGGCGAAGGCAGAUCUCUGGGCCGUAACUGACGCUGAGGAGCGAAAGCAUGGGGAGCGAACAGG